GCCGGAGGGAGUUCACGAGGAAAAGACGCGCUCUAAAAGUUUUCAGGUACUCAAGUGAAGGAUGAUGAUCAAGCAAUCGAUUCGAACCGAACACCUAACGUUACGCUUCCGCACUUGAUCCAUGUUUUGUUAUUAUGUAAACACUAGUAGUUUUAUUUGGAACAUUGUUAGUAGGUUAAACAAGUAAUGUUUUAUUAAAUGGGUUUCGAAUAUUGAAAGUUUUUGUAAAGACUACUUUUAGUAUA
This is a long non-coding RNA of Helianthus annuus (common sunflower), 245 nucleotides long. RefSeq lists it as uncharacterized. The transcript is spliced from 2 exons. The record is from RefSeq and is a predicted model, not a curated record. NCBI's taxonomy places the organism in Eukaryota, Viridiplantae, Streptophyta, Magnoliopsida, Asterales, Asteraceae.